GGUAAUUUGACCGUGCAAAGGUAGCAUAAUCCUUAGUUUUUUAAUUGAAAGCUGGAAUGAAAGGUUGGAUGAGAAAAAAGCUGUCUCUGUUUAAUUUAUUUAGAAUUUUAUCUUUAAGUUAAAAAGCUUAAAUUUAAAUAGAAGACGAGAAGACCCUAUAGAGUUUUAUUGAUUUUUUUUAUAAAAAUAAUAGUAUUUUUUGUUUUUAUAGGGAGGAUCAAUUUGGUUGGGGUGAUUGAAAAAUUGAAUUAACUUUUUUUUUAUAAAUACAUUUAUAUAUGAUUAUUUGAUCCUUAAUUUGAGAUUGAAAGAUAAAAUUACCUUAGGGAUAACAGCGUAAUUUUUUUUGAGAGUUCUAAUCGAAAGAAAAGAUUGCGACCUCGAUGUUGGAUUAAAAUAAAAUUUUGGUGUAGAAGCUAAAA
This 422-nucleotide ribosomal RNA is filed under the name Laparocerus lamellipes. RNAcentral describes it as "partial 16S ribosomal RNA". It matches the Rfam family "Bacterial large subunit ribosomal RNA", at positions 1935 to 2567 of the family's 2925-position model. The record is from RNAcentral. Lineage: Eukaryota; Metazoa; Arthropoda; Insecta; Coleoptera; Curculionidae.